AUGCUCAGCUACUUUAAAAAAAUGUUUUGUAGAGAUAUGGGUCUCACUGUGUUGCCCAGGCUGGCCUUGAAUUCCUGGGCUCAAGCAAUCCUCCUGCUAUGGCCUCCUAAAGUGCUGAGAUCACAGGCGUGUGUGACUGCACCUGGCUAAGCUGUGUUCUUUUUAUUCUUUACCAACAUGAGAACUCAAGAGUAGACAGACACUCAGACUUCCCCCAAAGUCAACCUUGCACAUAGGUGAAUUUUACAGCUACAAGAUUACAGGACUAUCAGCAGUUCUAUUUUUUUUUUCCCCCAUUUGGUCAUUUAUAAGCCAGUAGUGACACCAUCCUUUUCCCUGUAAAUCUCCUGAAAGAAAUCCCAAAUAUUAGACUAUUGCUUUGGGUUACACACUAAACAGGUAAAUGAUCUCCUGGACCACUAGAACCCACUACUAAAAUAUAUAUUUGGUACCAUAAUCUCUCUGGUCUGUUUCCUCAUCUAUAAAAUGGGAAUAAUAGUAGUAUCCACCUAAUAGAAUUUUUAAAAGUACUUAUUUAUAGUAUGAAAUAGAGACAGGGUCUCCUUGUGUUGCCCAGGCUGGUCUCGAACUCCUGGGCUCAAGCAAUCUUUCUACCUUGGCCUCUCAAAGUGCUGGGAUUUCAGGUGUAAUCACCAUGCCCAGCCUACAGCUGUCAUGAAGAGUAAAUAUUAAUACACGUAAAGCCCUUAGAACAGUGCCUACCAUAGAGCAGUCCACCAAUUAAAGUGACACAUUUAUUACCUAAGAGGGAAGAGAGAAUAAGCCAUCUUCCAUGAAGCUGUCAGCGAAGAGUGGCAGAAAAGUGGAGGCGAUUGAAACUGGGUGUAUAUUUAGAAAUGUUGCCAUGGUCACUGUUUCCAGUUUGGGCGUCUGUCAUUUGGCUGUUACAGCCUGCAGGAGAUACCCAUGGAAUGAGUAAAUCUCAAAAAAGUGGCUUUGAAUUUGAGCUUCAAUAGAAUCUUGAACAAAGAAAAGUACAUUUUUAGAGAUGUGACAAGAGACAAAGGAAAAGGACUUUAAUGCUCUAUGGGUGGCAAUUUAUAGGAAGGCAAAUGACCUUCAGAUAAACUCUGGCAGAGGCAAGGGCCUCCAGCCAGCUAAUGUGAUGGACACGGUAUCUGGAGAGUCCUGCAUUUCAAAACUUACUCUAAGGAAGACUGCUUUGAUUUUCAAAGUCUCUAGUCUACAGAGAGAUUGAGCUCUGGCUGCAAGACACUGUCUAUCAUAGAGCCACAUGGCGACAUUGCCGUAGAGAAGAGACAUAAAUAACCACAACUGCCAGAAAAUAAAGCUGGUAAUCUCUAGAAAUGCCUGGAUACAUUAAAAUGAAAUAUAACCCAGUACUCUGGUUCUUUAGACCCCGUUGAAUACUUUGUUCUCAGUCAGCUGAUAAAAUUUUAAUUUAUUAUUGCGUGUUUAUGAUGAAAUGUAACAUAACUCAUUCAUUGUGUCUGUUAAUCCUCUCAUUCAUAAAAAUAGCAUAUGUGUUGAUGAUCUACAUUAAAGUAAUUGUUUACCAUGGGUAGUAUUAUAGCGAUAAUCUAUAAAUAAUGUGAAAGUUUGUAGAAAAUUAAAGUAUAUAGAACUGUAGAAAGAGAUAAAUCUUUAAAUAUUUAAGGUUUUGAUCUGCUUGUAUAAUGAACUGGUGUUUUAGCCAUUUGAGCCACCUAGUGGUAAUAUACAUGAGAUAUGAUUUCUUAUUCUGAAAAAAAAUGUAAAAGUUUAACAGUUUCCAAUUUAAAAGGAAUAAACUAAGUAAAGCGAAUCAUAACCAUUAUAUAUUAUACAUUCAGCUUUUGAAUUAUUACUUAUUGGUAGAAGAUUGACUAUUAGAAAAUAAAUUAUAAAAACAGUUCUUUGCUUAUUUUGUUUCUUCUAAUAGAGGCCACAUAGCCAAGAAAAUUAAAAUUAUAAAAAAUUAUAAUUGAAGGGGAUAUUUGCAAUAUGUAUAAGAAAGAAAAAGCAAUCAAAUAUUUAGUGGACUAAAAUGAAUAAUACACUUUCCAACUUAAUUGUAUUCCAAUGUAACCUUUGAUAAGUGGUCUUCAGUGUAGUCAUAUUCUCUUAAGUCUGUCUUUUAGCCAAUCAUUAGUCUGUCUUCUUAUAUUCAAGGAACAAAACUGAAUCACUAAUCUGCUCAGUGAUCCAUUAGAAAUACUCUGUAACUGAUCACACUGUGUCUAAUUUUAGAUUUCUUUUACUGGGAACUGUAGAUCAAAGCAAGUUUCCAUUUUGGCUCUAUUCUGGUAUAAUAACUUCCGGCAGAGCCAAAUCAUGAAAUACUGCUAACUUCACGUGUUAGAAUCCACAUUCAUCUUUGCCUUGUUAACUUUUAAGGAGCUUUUUAUUUAUUGUUCCAAGAAUGCCAGGUUCUUUGGUUUCCUGCUUUCUUAAAUUGCCAUGUGUCUCUAAAUAGGUUUUUUUCAAAAUCGGAAUUAGCACAAAGAUAGAUAGAUUUGUCUUCUUUGAAUUCACCAGCCUCCCUACUUGGUAGGAUUGCAAAACUAUCUUAUGAACCCAGCAGAGAAAAUAUCCUCUCUUCUUGAUGAUCCUGCUUGUUGGAACUCUGACCUCUCCAUUUCUUCUGUGGUUUCACUGGGUAAUCUGAAGACAAGUCUUCACAUGUGGUUCCUGGAAGCAAUGACAUCUAAAGUUGAUCUAAAGUCGAGAGGAUUGAAGCGUGCCAGCCUGAGUCGUUUUGAACUCAGCUCUAGUGAGAAGUCUGAGAUAUUCUCUGGUGUCAAACUCAGGAGAUGUGAAUUGUGGUGCUGCUUCUUAGGGAAUAUGAGGGAGCAGGGCUUUUCUUUCUUCUGGGUGCAUUUUUAAUGCAGA
Molecule: long non-coding RNA, 2853 nt
Filed under: Homo sapiens (human)
Lineage: Eukaryota; Metazoa; Chordata; Mammalia; Primates; Hominidae
Description: HSALNT0160015
Source: RNAcentral